Molecule: ribosomal RNA, 457 nt
Filed under: uncultured Rhodocyclaceae bacterium
Lineage: Bacteria; Pseudomonadati; Pseudomonadota; Betaproteobacteria; Rhodocyclales; Rhodocyclaceae
Description: bacterial SSU rRNA
Rfam family: Bacterial small subunit ribosomal RNA
Source: RNAcentral
GCACAAGCGGUGGAUGAUGUGGAUUAAUCGAUGCAACGCGAAAACCUUACUACCCUUGACAUGUCCGGAAUCCCGAAGAGAUUUGGGAGUGCUCGCAAGAGAACCGGAACACAGGUGCUGCAUGGCUGUCGUCAGCUCGUGUCGUGAGAUGUUGGGUUAAGUCCCGCAACGAGCGCAACCCUUGUCAUUAGUUGCCAUCAUUUGGUUGGGCACUCUAAUGAGACUGCCGGUGACAAACCGGAGGAAGGUGGGGAUGACGUCAAGUCCUCAUGGCCCUUAUGGGUAGGGCUUCACACGUCAUACAAUGGUCGGUACAGAGGGUUGCCAACCCGCGAGGGGGAGCUAAUCCCACAAAGCCGAUCGUAGUCCGGAUCGCAGUCUGCAACUCGACUGCGUGAAGUCGGAAUCGCUAGUAAUCGUGGAUCAGCAUGUCACGGUGAAUACGUUCCCGGGUCUU